GAUGAAGAACGCAGCGAAAUGCGAUAAGUAGUGUGAAUUGCAGAAUUCAGUGAAUCAUCGAAUCUUUGAACGCACAUUGCGCCCCUCGGUAUUCCGUGGGGCAUGCCUGCUCGAGCGUCAUUUACCCCUCAAGCACUGCUUGGUGUUGGGCGUCUGUCCCGCUUCGCGCGCGGACUCGCCCCAAAGGUAUUGGCAGCGGUCGUGCCAGCUUCUCGCGCAGCACAUUGCGCUUCUCGAGGCGGUCGAUCGGCGUCCACGAAGCUCACCUCCACCGUUUGACCUCGGAUCAGGUAGGGAUACCCGCUGAACUUAAGCAUAUCAAUAAGCGGAGGA
This 333-nucleotide unclassified non-coding RNA is filed under the name soil metagenome. Its description in RNAcentral is "partial contains 5.8S ribosomal RNA, internal transcribed spacer 2, and large subunit ribosomal RNA". The stretch from base 1 to 120 matches the Rfam family "5.8S ribosomal RNA", at positions 35 to 154 of the family's 154-position model. The record is from RNAcentral.